UAGGGAAUAUUGGUCAAUGGAGGCAACUCUGAACCAGCCAUGCCGCGUGCAGGAAGAAGGCCCUCUGGGUUGUAAACUGCUUUUGACUAGGAACAAAUGACUCUUGCGAGAGUAGCUGAGUGUACUAGUAGAAUAAGCCACGGCUAACUACGUGCCAGCAGCCGCGGUAAUACGUAGGUGGCAAGCGUUGUCCGGAUUUAUUGGGUUUAAAGGGUGCGUAGGUGGCUUUGUAAGUCAGCGGUGAAACUCUGGAGCUUAACUCCAGACCGGCCAUUGAUACUGCAGAGCUUGAGUUCGAACGAGGUAGGCGGAAUUGACGGUGUAGCGGUGAAAUGCAUAGAUAUCGUCAAGAACACCAAUAGCGAAGGCAGCUUACUAGAACGACACUGACACUGAGGCA
This 400-nucleotide ribosomal RNA is filed under the name uncultured bacterium. Its description in RNAcentral is "bacterial SSU rRNA". It matches the Rfam family "Bacterial small subunit ribosomal RNA", at positions 355 to 753 of the family's 1533-position model. The record is from RNAcentral.